GGGAGGAGAGGGCCCUGCAGAGGGCAGAAGAGUGGGUCGUGGUGAAUGAAAAUAACCUUCCCAGGCUGGAGAGCGUUCUCUUAGCUGAGGAGGCCAAACUAGACCGAUGCACUGCCUCCCUCUUGCAGGUCAUGGAAGAGAUGAAGGAGUUUCAGUCAAAGGGAGACACACUGUUUGAGGAGACCCAGAGGCUACGAGCCACCCUGGAGGGCAGGCACCAGGAGGAGGUGUGUCAGGAGGAGGAGGUGUACCAGGAGGAGGAGGUGCACCAGGA
Molecule: long non-coding RNA, 274 nt
Organism: Osmerus eperlanus (European smelt)
Lineage: Eukaryota; Metazoa; Chordata; Actinopteri; Osmeriformes; Osmeridae
Exons: 3
Source: RefSeq, a predicted model, not a curated record